CUGGCGGCGCACAUAAGACAUGCAAGUCGAACGGAAGUCGUUAUAAAAAGGAUUGAAGAUUUAUCUGAUUGAGAUUUUAUAACAAUGGCUUUAGUGGCGGACUGGUGAGUAACGCGUGAGCAACCUGCCUACUAGAGGGGAAUAACAGUGAGAAAUCAUUGCUAAUACCGCAUAUGCCAUGAACAUCACAUGAUGAAAAUGGGAAAAGAGUAAUCUGCUAGUAGAUGGGCUCGCGUCUGAUUAGAUAGUUGGUGGGGUAACGGCCUACCAAGUCGACGAUCAGUAGCCGGACUGAGAGGUUGAACGGCCACAUUGGGACUGAGAUACGGCCCAGACUCCUACGGGAGGCAGCAGUCGGGAAUAUUGCGCAAUGGAGGAAACUCUGACGCAGUGACGCCGCGUAUAGGAAGAAGGUUUUCGGAUUGUAAACUAUUGUCGUUAGGGAAGAUACAAGACAGUACCUAAGGAGGAAGCUCCGGCUAACUACGUG
RNAcentral lists this ribosomal RNA (490 nucleotides) under uncultured bacterium. RNAcentral's name for it is "bacterial SSU rRNA". It matches the Rfam family "Bacterial small subunit ribosomal RNA", at positions 36 to 507 of the family's 1533-position model. The record is from RNAcentral.